UNGGUGCAGUUUGAGCUGAGGGAGUUA
This 27-nucleotide non-coding RNA is filed under the name Mus musculus (house mouse). The record is from RNAcentral. Lineage: Eukaryota; Metazoa; Chordata; Mammalia; Rodentia; Muridae.